UCGCAUUAAAAUAAGAGCAAGUGGUGGAUGCCUUGGGUUGAAGAGGCGAUGAAGGACGUGGUAUGACUGCGAAAAGCUUCGGGGAGCCGUCUAGCGGGCUUUGAUCCGGAGAUGUCCGAAUGGGGAAACCUAUGAGCGCAAAACGCUCAUACCUCACGUUUUGCUUUAAGUACUAAAUCCCGGUUUCUAAUUUCUAAACAAAUUCCAAAUUCUAAUAUCUCAAACGUGUUUAGAGUUUAAAGAAUUGGAAUUUAGAUAUUGUUUAGGAUUUAGGAUUUCGAAUUUAGGAUUUUGAGCAGAACGCGAGGAGCGUACCUCGGGAAGUAAAACAUUUCAGUACCGAGAGGAAAAGAAAACAAGCGCUCAACUUCGUCUCGCUAAUGCGAUACUAAUAUACUGAUGCGUACCCAUGAUACAAAUAAUACGAAUUCGUAUCCAUUAGUAUCAUUCGUAUUAAUUCGUAUAUUGGUAUCGUGUUAGCGAGCGGAUGCGAGCGGUAUUCCCGUAGUAGUGGCGAGCGAACUGGGAACAGCCAAAACUAUAUUGUGCGCGCAAGCGCACGAUAUGGGGUUGCGGGGUUGUAUAUAUUCAUGCGUUUAUUGGUAGAAGAACAACCUGGAAAGGUUGGCCAGAGAACGUGAUAGCCGUGUAUUUGAAACUAACACGACGCGUGAGUACAAUUCCCUAGUAUCCCGACACAUGAAAAAGUCGGGAGAAUCAGGCAGAACUAUACUGCCAAGGCUAAAUACUCUUCAACACCGAUAGUGAACUAGUACCGUGAGGGAAAGGUGAAAAGUACCCCGGUGAGGGGAGUGAAAUAGUACCUGAAACCACUAUGCUUACAAGGACACAGAGCUCUUGUGCUUCGCACAAGGAAAUUCUAAGCACGAAGCACGAAAUCCGAAACAAAUUCAAAAUCAUAAAUUCAAAACAGCUUUUGGUUUAGAUAUUUGAAUUUAAAUAUUGUUUAGGAUUUCGGAUUUUCCGCCGAAGGCGGAUCAGCCUCUGGCUGAAGAAUUUAGGAUUUUCUCGUGCGGAGCACGGGUGAUGUGGUGCCUAUUGAAGAAUGAGCCAACGAGUGUUUGUCGCCGCUUCAUCUAAUCCCGUUCAGCGGGAGGAGGUAAAGCGAAAGCGAGUGUGAAUAACGCGUGGUAUAUAUGUCUCUCUACGUAGCGGCAUAUGUACAAAGCGGCGGCUAACGACCCGAAGCCAAUCGAGCUACCCCUGGGCAGGAUGAGCUUUGUAGAAAUACAAGGGGAGGUCCGAACCCGUAAGCCGUUCAACACUUUGGGAUGACCUGGGGGUGGAAGUGAAAAGCUUAACGCGAUUGGGAAUAGCUGGUUCUCUCCGAAAUAGUUUUUCGACUAGCGUCCGUCUAAAUCGGUUUCGCAGGUAGAGCACUAGUUGAGACAGAUAGGGAGCAAUCUCACUGCCUCAGUUAAACUCCGAAUGGCGGAACCGUUGAUGGGCAGUCAGACUGUGGGGGCUAAGCUUCACAGUCAAAAGAGCAAGAACUCAGACUCUCGUCUAAGGUCCCUCAAUUAUGACUCAGUGUGAAAGGUAGUGAUCAACCGAUGACAGGUAGGAGGUUGGCUCAGAAGUAGCCAUCCUUUAAAGAGUGUGUAACAACUCACUACCAUAUCCCCGAUGCUUUGCAUCGGUAUGCGGAUUGAUGCUGAUACGACACUUUCGUGUCGCCGCUGAUAAAUGCGGAUAGAAUUAUCCGUAUAAAUCAGUUAAAAUCAGCAUAAAUCGGCAUUCCGCUGCAGAGCAGCGAGGUUUGGUUGGUUGCGCCGAAAAUGUAACGGGGCUAAGUCAUAUACCGAAGACAGAGAUGCCUUGUGCUUUGCACAAGGAAAUUCGAAGCACGAAAUUCUAAAUUCUAAACAAUAUCUAAAUUUUUAAAUUCUAAACAUCUUUAAAUUUGUUUUGAAUUUUGAGAUUUAUGAUUUUGAAUUUGUUUCGGAUUUAGGAUUUCGGAUUUAGGAUUUCCUCGCGCAGAGCGCGAGGUGUGGUAGGAGAGCAUUUUGCACGCAGCGAAGGAGUAUCCGUGAGGAACUCUGGAGUGUGCAGAAGAGAAAAUGUUGGCAUGAGUAACCUGCAAUCCCGAUGAAAUAUCGGGAGGCCGAAAGUCUAAGGAUUCCUGGACAACGACCAUCGUUCCAGGGUUAGGCGGCCCUAAACCGAUGCCGAAAGGCGAAGGCGAAGGAUAACUGGUUAAUAUUCCAGUCUGUCAUUGCGAGUCGAUGGGAUGACGAAGUAUAGUAGGUUGAGCAUCUUAUUGGAUUGGUGUCCGUUACUUAGGGUGUGCGUUUGGCAAAUCCGGCGCGCUGCAUUUUAUUGCAAACCCAAGGAAAGCGGCCAAGCCCCGCUUUGCGGGGUGAAGUCAACCGAGCAUGCUCCCGAGAAAAGUCCCUAAGAUUACGCGCAAUGACCCCGUACCAAAACCAACACAGGUGGACAAGGCGAGAAGCCUAAGGCCAAUGGGUGAUUGUUCCCUAAGGAACUCGGCAAAAAAGCUAGGCGUACGUUUGCUAGAUGCCUUUCCUGUCUUGUGCUUCGCACAAGGAAAUUCCAAGCACCAAGUACCAAAUAACAAAUAAGCUCCAAAACUGGAAAUUCCAAAAUUCAAAACAGUUUGGAAUUUCAGUAGCUGGAAUUUGUAAUUUACUUGGUAUUUGCCAGCCCGUGGCUGGUCCGCUCUGGCGGAGAGUUUGUAAUUUGGGAUUUUCUCGCGCGGAGCGCGAGAUGGGACGCAGCGAAAGUUUCCAUGGCGACUGUUUACCAAAAACACAGCUCCCUGCGAACUCGUAAGAGGAUGUAUAGGGGGUGAGACCUGACCGAUGCACGAAGGUUAAAGUCGUCGGUCGCGGAGCGACUCGACGCGCGGAAUGACGCAGAACGAACGCGGAAUAACGCAGAAGUAAAAAAUUCUGCGAAUGUCUGCGUAAAAUCUGCGUGUGUCAGCGCGUGAAGCCGCUUCGCGGCUGAAUGACCGAAGCCCGUGUCAAUGUCGGCCUUAACUAUAAGGGUCCAAAGGUGGGAAGACGCACUGCCUUUGUAAAAUCUGGCUAUAUGCUGGAACGUCUGUAGAUAGAAUCUUGUAGUAUCGAGCACUACUAUUUGGUAUAAUGACAAGGCAAACGAUAACCUUGUCUUAUGCGCUAUAGUAAAAAAGUGUCUCGUGCAGACAAUCAGCAGGAAAGAUUUGUAAGAUUUACUGGGUGGAUAGUGGGUUUUGUUGAUGGAGAGGGGUUUUUUCUAUCGGAUUUGUUCGGCAAAGUGAUCGAAGGGAAAAAACACGAACAAGAAGGGGCUAUAAGACGGGUUACCAAAUAUUUCAUGAAUUUGCCGUAACCCAAGGAGAGAAAAGUCUCAAAGCCCUUAAAAAGAUUCAGUCCUUCUUCGGGAUUGGCAAAAUCUAUCUGAAUAAGCGAUACGAUAAUCACACAGAACAUUUGUAUCGCUUUGUGGUGAGAAAAAGGGAAGAUUUGUUAAGUGUCAUCAUUCCUGUUUUCAAAGAAAACACAUUGCACACAGCUAAACAUUAUGAUUUUGAGAAAUUUGCAAGAUGUUUGAAUCUUAUGAAACGCGAUAAACAUCUAACGCAAAAUGGAUUAGUGCAAAUUGCUUGAAUAGCUCAGCAGAUGAACCGUAAAAGACCUGGAAGAAAUCUUACAAAAAUCCUCAGAGACCAUACGCCAAACCCUGUUUAAAGCAGGGAAGAUAUGGUCCGGACUUUGCAGCGAUGCAAAGAGAUAAACAGAAAUGAUUUAUCCCGCCUUUUUACAAGGCGAGUAACAAGUUCAAGCGCAAUUCCUUGUCAGGUGAGUUCUGACGCGCACGAAAGGUUUAACGACUGUGGAACUGUCUCAGGGAAUAGCCCAGUGAAAAUGCGAACCCGGUGAAGACGCCGGAUACCUGCGGCAAGACGAAAAGACCCCGGGAGCUUUACUGGAGCCUGAUAUUGGCUUAUGGGUUUGGAUGCGUAGCGUAGUGGGCAGGCUUUGAAUCUUGCUUUUCGGAGCAAGGGGAGCCAACAAUGAAACACCCAUCUUUCAAAUUUAUAAGCCUAACCAAUGCGGCAAAAACGCAUGGGAACAGUGUUUGGCGGACAGUUUUCGUGGGGCGCGAUCCUCCCAAAGAGUAACGGAGGAACUUAUUAAGGUCAGCUUGGCGAGGAUGGAAAUCUCGCUGGACGUGUAAAGGCGUACGCUGGCUUGACUGCAAGGUUGACAGACCACGCAGGUGCGAAAGCAGAACUUAGUGACCCGAUACGACGUGAUAGAAGGCGUAAAGACACUGGAUAAAAGCUACCCCGGGGAUAGAUCCUGAAAUAAGGAUCAGUUGUCCUCUUCGCCAGUAAUGGCGAAGUAAUAAAGCGGCU
Parcubacteria group bacterium CG1_02_44_31 is the source of this 4387-nucleotide non-coding RNA. The record is from Rfam.